This 425-nucleotide ribosomal RNA is filed under the name uncultured eukaryote. Its description in RNAcentral is "SSU rRNA". It matches the Rfam family "Eukaryotic small subunit ribosomal RNA", at positions 592 to 1018 of the family's 1831-position model. The record is from RNAcentral.
CAAUAGCGUAUAUUAAAGUUGUUGCGGUUAAAAAGCUCGUAGUUGGAUUUCUGCUGAGGACGACCGGUCCGCCCUCUGGGUGAGUAUCUGGCUCGGCCUUGGCAUCUUCUUGGAGAACGCAACUGCACUUGACUGUGUGGUGUGGUAUCCAGGACUUUUACUUUGAGGAAAUUAGAGUGUUUCAAGCAGGCGCACGCCUUGAAUACAUUAGCAUGGAAUAAUAAGAUAGGACCUUGGUUCUAUUUUGUUGGUUUCUAGAGCUGAGGUAAUGAUUAGUAGGGAUAGUUGGGGGCAUUAGUAUUUAAUUGUCAGAGGUGAAAUUCUUGGAUUUAUAGAAAGACUAACUACUGCGAAAGCUAUUUGCCAAGGAUUGUUUUCUAUUAAUCAAGAACGAAAGUUAGGGAUCGAAGACGAUCAGAUACCAU